AACAAAACACUGACCUUGGUCCACAGACAACACCCACGUCCACGUGGUGGGUGGGACUGGCUCCGUCAGAGGAUGGGAAGAUGAGAAGUGCUUGUCGCAGGCCUGGAGAUGGGGACCACCCAGGCAUGCAGGGGAUGCUGCCUCUCCUCCAUCCAACAACAAGCCUGCGUGUGCCCAGCCCCCUCUGGUACACGCAUUGCUCCCCAUCCUCGGCAUUGAUCAAUUGAAAAUAAGACCUUGGAAGAACCCCUUGCAAAGCUGACAUUGUACGAGCCAAGUGGCCCCGGAGAGGGUCAGCGAGGGGCCUCCACUGUCUGAGUCCGCUCCUGGCAACGCCUGCUCUCUGCACUCAGAGGCCCGGUCCCGGCAGCUGCCACGUUGCUCAGAAGUUCUGGCAGGGGGAGCCUGAAACCCCUGUCUGCUGGCGACACUCCCGGAGCAGCAGGAAAUCUCUACAUUUUAUUUUUUUUCUUAACAGACAAAAGUAUUUGACUCCAGAAUGAUUUCCAGGAAUUACAGUAUGAGAACUUAGUCUUUGAGAUUUUUAUUUUCUUCUUAAAAAAAUAAAAAUGAAAUCAAAGCAGAAGACACUGGUUGAGCAGACAGCACACUAGCACAUUCCACUUCGCAACAAAACCUGCGUGUUUUCUGCCCGGUCUACCUCAGACAGGGAUGGUGGGCUUCAUAGCCUUUCCUGUGGAAGGAGUUCAGGGCGGGAGGGAAGUGCUGGGGUAGGAGGGGCAGGCAGAACCUGGAAACUGCGCCCCAUUCUUUCUUCUCGGAACUCCAUUGCCAGAGGGCUUGGAGUGCUUCUCGGCGAUUUGGCAUCUGCUUCUCCUCUGCCCCUCAUUCAGAGUUCUCAUUGCAAGAAAAGCAGG
This 878-nucleotide long non-coding RNA is filed under the name Homo sapiens (human). RNAcentral's name for it is "non-protein coding LINC01615:13". The record is from RNAcentral. Lineage: Eukaryota; Metazoa; Chordata; Mammalia; Primates; Hominidae.